RNAcentral lists this RNase P RNA (449 nucleotides) under bacterium. Its description in RNAcentral is "RNase P RNA component class A". It matches the Rfam family "Bacterial RNase P class A". From Rfam's summary of the family: Ribonuclease P (RNase P) is a ubiquitous endoribonuclease, found in archaea, bacteria and eukarya as well as chloroplasts and mitochondria. The record is from RNAcentral.
AAUGCAGGUCGGGCAACCGCGUCCCGAUGCCGCCCUUAGGCGGACUCGGGAUGAGGAAAGUCCGAACUCCACAGAGCAAGGUGCCCCGUGAACAACAGGGGUCUCACGGCCGCAAGUCCGUGAGAACGGAAAGUGUCACAGAAAACAUACCGCCGGCCCUGGUCCCACCCGCGAUGGCGGGAGCAGAGCCGGUAAGGGUGAAAAGGCGAGGUAAGAGCUCACCGCUCCGCCAGUAAUGACGGGGGCACGACAAACCCCACCUGGAGCAAGACCAAAUAAGAGAGGAGAAGCUGCUCGCUUCACUGCCUCGUCCCGCGCUUGCGCGGCGGCAGGGCAACACUCUCGGGUAGGUCGCUUGAGCCACGGAGCAAUCCAAGGCCCAGAGAAAUGGUUGCCUCUCCCCCUUUCCGGGGGACAGACAGAAUUCGGCUUACAGACCUGCACUGCUU